AGAGUUUGAUCCUGGCUCAGGAUGAACGCCGGCGGUGUGCCUAAUACAUGCAAGUCGUACGCACUGGCCCAACUGAUUGAUGGUGCUUGCACCUGAUUGACGUUGGAUCACCAGUGAGUGGCGGACGGGUGAGUAACACGUAGGUAACCUGCCCCGGAGCGGGGGAUAACAUUUGGAAACAGAUGCUAAUACCGCAUAACAACAAAAGCCACAUGGCUUUUGUUUGAAAGAUGGCUUUGGCUAUCACUCUGGGAUGGACCUGCGGUGCAUUAGCUAGUUGGUAAGGUAACGGCUUACCAAGGCGAUGAUGCAUAGCCGAGUUGAGAGACUGAUCGGCCACAAUGGAACUGAGACACGGUCCAUACUCCUACGGGAGGCAGCAGUAGGGAAUCUUCCACAAUGGGCGCAAGCCUGAUGGAGCAACACCGCGUGAGUGAAGAAGGGUUUCGGCUCGUAAAGCUCUGUUGUUGGAGAAGAACGUGCGUGAGAGUAACUGUUCACGCAGUGACGGUAUCCAACCAGAAAGUCACGGCUAACUACGCGCCAGCAGCCGCGGUAAUACGUAGGUGGCAAGCGUUAUCCGGAUUUAUUGGGCGUAAAGCGAGCGCAGGCGGUUGCUUAGGUCUGACGUGAAAGCCUUCGGCUUAACCGAAGAAGUGCAUCGGAAACCGGGCGACUUGAGUGCAGAAGAGGACAGUGGAACUCCAUGUGUAGCGGUGGAAUGCGUAGAUAUAUGGAAGAACACCAGUGGCGAAGGCGGCUGUCUGGUCUGCAACUGACGCUGAGGCUCGAAAGCAUGGGUAGCGAACAGGAUUAGAUACCCUGGUAGUCCAUGCCGUAAACGAUGAGUGCUAGGUGUUGGAGGGUUUCCGCCCUUCAGUGCCGGAGCUAACGCAUUAAGCACUCCGCCUGGGGAGUACGACCGCAAGGUUGAAACUCAAAGGAAUUGACGGGGGCCCGCACAAGCGGUGGAGCAUGUGGUUUAAUUCGAAGCAACGCGAAGAACCUUACCAGGUCUUGACAUCCAGUGCAAACCUAAGAGAUUAGGUGUUCCCUUCGGGGACGCUGAGACAGGUGGUGCAUGGCUGUCGUCAGCUCGUGUCGUGAGAUGUUGGGUUAAGUCCCGCAACGAGCGCAACCCUUGUCAUUAGUUGCCAUCAUUAAGUUGGGCACUCUAAUGAGACUGCCGGUGACAAACCGGAGGAAGGUGGGGAUGACGUCAAGUCAUCAUGCCCCUUAUGACCUGGGCUACACACGUGCUACAAUGGACGGUACAACGAGAAGCGAACCUGCGAAGGCAAGCGGAUCUCUUAAAGCUGUUCUCAGUUCGGACUGUAGGCUGCAACUCGCCUACACGAAGCUGGAAUCGCUAGUAAUCGCGAAUCAGAAUGUCGCGGUGAAUACGUUCCCGGGUCUUGCACACACCGCGCGUCA
RNAcentral lists this ribosomal RNA (1434 nucleotides) under uncultured bacterium. Its description in RNAcentral is "bacterial SSU rRNA". It matches the Rfam family "Bacterial small subunit ribosomal RNA". The record is from RNAcentral.